Molecule: long non-coding RNA, 195 nt
Organism: Myotis brandtii (Brandt's bat)
Lineage: Eukaryota; Metazoa; Chordata; Mammalia; Chiroptera; Vespertilionidae
Exons: 3
Source: RefSeq, a predicted model, not a curated record
GCUUUGCAAACCGCAGUCCCAUGUGUCCAGCAGAAAGCACAGGCUGUGGUCAUCCUUCUGGGAAAGCGUCUUCGGGAGGUUUGAGUGCUCUUGGAUUUCCUGACCUCAUUGCAGAUAGAAGUAUUUUUCUGUCAGGAGCGAUUCAUCAUUCAGCCGGGAAGCUUGGAACUCAAUCUGUAUUAUUAUUAUUAUCAG